GACAGAGGUGCCGAGCGUUAGGCGGAAUCACUGGGCUUAAAGCGUGUGUAGGCGGGCCGUUAAGUGUCUUGUGAAAUCCCCCGGCUCAACCGGGGAAUUGCUGGGCAUACUGGCGGUCUUGAGCAAUCUAGGGGCAGAUGGAACAAGUGGUGGAGCGGUGAAAUGCGUAGAUAUCAGGAAGAACACCCGUGGCUAAGGCGGCUCUCUAGUACGGUACUGACGCUGAGACGCGAAAGCGUGGGGAGCGAACAGG
RNAcentral lists this ribosomal RNA (253 nucleotides) under uncultured bacterium. RNAcentral describes it as "partial 16S ribosomal RNA". It matches the Rfam family "Bacterial small subunit ribosomal RNA", at positions 524 to 776 of the family's 1533-position model. The record is from RNAcentral.